GCCAGCAUGGUAUAAUGGUUUGAGUACUGGGCUAUGACUCUGGAGACCAGGGUUUGAUUCCCUGAUUGGCC
This is a non-coding RNA of Phrynosoma platyrhinos (Desert horned lizard), 71 nucleotides long. Lineage: Eukaryota; Metazoa; Chordata; Lepidosauria; Squamata; Phrynosomatidae. The record is from the annotation of a GenBank genome assembly.